Molecule: ribosomal RNA, 470 nt
Filed under: uncultured bacterium
Lineage: Bacteria
Description: bacterial LSU rRNA
Rfam family: Bacterial large subunit ribosomal RNA
Source: RNAcentral
UCGUCAUCGUAGGGUUAGUCGGGACCUAAGUCGAGUCCGAAAGGGGUAGACGAUGGCAAAUCGGUUAAUAUUCCGAUACCGACAUUACAUCAUUUGAGUGAUGGGGGGACGCAUAGAGUUAAACGAGGUCACUGAUGGAUAUGUGGCUCGAAGGGUGUAGGUUGUAAGAUAGGCAAAUCCGUCUUACAUUCGACCGAGACCUGACAGGCAGAACAAUCUCUUCGGAGAGCGUUUUGAAUCGUUGAUACUGUCGUGCCGAGAAAAGCCUCUAAACGAGAUGUAAUGUUGCCCGUACCGUAAACCGACACAGGUGGGUGAGAUGAGUAUUCUAAGGCGCGUGGAUGAACCCUGGUUAAGGAACUCUGCAAACUAGCACCGUAUCUUCGGUAUAAGGUGUGCCCUGACUGUUAAGAGAUUUACUCUCUGAAGCGGUCAUGGGUCGCAGCAAAGUGUCCCUCCCGACUGUUUAC